RNAcentral lists this transfer RNA (85 nucleotides) under Klebsiella pneumoniae. Its description in RNAcentral is "tRNA-Ile". It matches the Rfam family "tRNA". Rfam says of the family: Transfer RNA (tRNA) molecules are approximately 80 nucleotides in length. RNAcentral also lists the same sequence under 2 other names. The record is from RNAcentral. Lineage: Bacteria; Pseudomonadati; Pseudomonadota; Gammaproteobacteria; Enterobacterales; Enterobacteriaceae.
GGCGGGAUGGCUGAGAGGCUGAAAGCGGCGCACUUAUAAUGCGUUAACCGGAAACGGUUCGCGGGUUCGAAUCCCGCUCCCAUUU